CCAUGCAAGUCGAACGGCAGCACGGGGGCUACCCUGGUGGGGAGUGGCGAACGGGUGAGUAAUACAUCGGAACGUGUCCUGUAGUGGGGGAUAGCCCGGCGAAAGCCGGAUUAAUACCGCAUACGCUCUACGGAGGAAAGGGGGGGAUCUUAGGACCUCCCGCUACAGGGGCGGCCGAUGGGAGAUUAGCUAGUUGGUGGGGUAAAGGCCUACCAAGGCGACGAUCUGUAGCUGGUCUGAGAGGACGACCAGCCACACUGGGACUGAGACACGGCCCAGACUCCUACGGGAGGCAGCAGUGGGGAAUUUUGGACAAUGGGGGCAACCCUGAUCCAGCAAUGCCGCGUGUGUGAAGAAGGCCUUCGGGUUGUAAAGCACUUUUGUCCGGAAAGAAAACGCCGUGGUUAAUACCCGUGGCGGAUGACGGUACCGGAAGAAUAAGCACCGGCUAACUACGUGCCAGCAGCCGCGGUAAUACGUAGGGUGCAAGCGUUAAUCGCAAUUACUGGGCGUAAAGCGUGCGCAGGCGGUCCGCUAAGACAGAUGUGAAAUCCCCGGGCUUAACCUGGGAACUGCAUUUGUGACUGGCGGGCUAUAGUAUGGCAGAGGGGGGUAGAAUUCCCCGUGUAGCAGUGAAAUGCGUACAGAUGUGGAGGAAUACCGAUGGCGAAGGCAGCCCCCUGGGCCAAUACUGACGCUCAUGCGCGAAAGCGUGGGGAGCAAACAGGAUUAUAUACCCUGGUUAGUCCACGCCCUAAACGAUGUCCACUAGUUGUCGGGUCUUCAUUGACUUGUUAAUGUAGCUAACGCGUGUAGUUGACUGCCUGUGGAGUACAGUCGCACGAUUAAAACUCUAAUGAAUUUGACCGUG
Molecule: ribosomal RNA, 871 nt
Filed under: Paraburkholderia fungorum
Lineage: Bacteria; Pseudomonadati; Pseudomonadota; Betaproteobacteria; Burkholderiales; Burkholderiaceae
Description: bacterial SSU rRNA
Rfam family: Bacterial small subunit ribosomal RNA
Source: RNAcentral